UUCUGGCUCAGGAUGAACGCUAGCGAUAGGCCUAACACAUGCAAGUCGAGGGGCAGCACAUGAGUAGCAAUACGAUGGUGGCGACCGGCGCACGGGUGAGUAACACGUAUGCAACCUACCUUUAACAGGGGAAUAACCCGUUGAAAAACGGACUAAUACUCCAUAACACAGGGGUCCCGCAUGGGAAUAUUUGUUAAAGAUUAAUCGGUUGAAGAUGGGCAUGCGUUCCAUUAGCUUGUUGGUGAGGUAACGGCUCACCAAGGCCACGAUGGAUAGGGGAACUGAGAGGUUUAUCCCCCACACUGGAACUGAGACACGGUCCAGACUCCUACGGGAGGCAGCAGUGAGGAAUAUUGGUCAAUGGAGGCAACUCUGAACCAGCCAAGUCGCGUGAAAGGAUGAAGGUCUUAUGGAUUGUAAACUUCUUUUGCAAGGGAAUAAAGUGGGGGACGUGUCCUCCUUUGCAUGUACCUUGCGAAUAAGGAUCGGCUAACUCCGUGCCAGCAGCCGC
Molecule: ribosomal RNA, 511 nt
Filed under: uncultured bacterium
Lineage: Bacteria
Description: bacterial SSU rRNA
Rfam family: Bacterial small subunit ribosomal RNA
Source: RNAcentral